GUGCAGCAGCCGCGGUCAUACCGGCAGCCCGAGUGAUGGCCGAUCUUAUUGGGCCUAAAGCGUCCGUAGCUGGCCGCGCAAGUCCAUCGGGAAAUCCACCCGCCCAACGGGUGGCCGUCCGGUGGAAACUGCACGGCUUGGGACCGGAAGGCGCGACGGGUACGUCCGGGGUAGGAGUGAAAUCCCGUAAUCCUGGACGGACCGCCGAUGGCGAAAGCACGUCGCGAGAACGGAUCCGACAGUGAGGGACGAAAGCUAGGGUCUCGAACCGGAUUAGAAACCCGUGUAGUCC
Molecule: ribosomal RNA, 292 nt
Filed under: uncultured bacterium
Lineage: Bacteria
Description: partial 16S ribosomal RNA
Rfam family: Archaeal small subunit ribosomal RNA
Source: RNAcentral